RNAcentral lists this non-coding RNA (30 nucleotides) under Rattus norvegicus (Norway rat). Lineage: Eukaryota; Metazoa; Chordata; Mammalia; Rodentia; Muridae. The record is from RNAcentral.
UAAUAACCACCAACCCCAGUGAUCGGAUCC